RNAcentral lists this non-coding RNA (24 nucleotides) under Arabidopsis thaliana (thale cress). The record is from RNAcentral. Lineage: Eukaryota; Viridiplantae; Streptophyta; Magnoliopsida; Brassicales; Brassicaceae.
AUUAAAACGGAGGUGUACAAAGAU